UUAUGGGAACUACAGGCUCCUCAUAUUUUACAAAACUUUUUGUUUUCUGAGCACACAUCGCACUGGCUGCCAUCCACAGCCACGUUUAUGACUGGACGGCAGUGACACGCUGACGGAGACAGUUUGUUGGAACUGUUUCCGUCUCCGAACAAGACAAACACAGCAACGAGAACCAGAAAGAAGAAACCUCUUGCCAUGAUCCUAAACAAGUAGUACACGAAAUAUGGCUUCUUUCAAGCUGGAAUGUUUUUUAUACUUUCCGGUCAGAAAUAGACAUGUCGUCAGCAUAUUGAGACUAUUAUACCAACAGCCAAUCAAAUUGUUAUCUGUUAUUCAUAUCUUUGUUUAUUCACAGUACGCGUAACAAGCCACUCCUCUUGGCUGUCAAGCGGCGAUUGGCAGCAGCUAAUAAAAAAACCUAUGUCGAUCAUUCGUUCAGCAGCAUCAGGAAGAAAAGAUACGUGAUGUACUUUUUUUGCCACCAGAAGUACAUUAUUUAGAGAAAAUAAAAAAAUAGCUAACCUA
This is a long non-coding RNA of Stylophora pistillata, 525 nucleotides long. RefSeq lists it as uncharacterized. Lineage: Eukaryota; Metazoa; Cnidaria; Anthozoa; Scleractinia; Pocilloporidae. The record is from RefSeq and is a predicted model, not a curated record.